RNAcentral lists this ribosomal RNA (519 nucleotides) under uncultured eukaryote. RNAcentral's name for it is "SSU rRNA". It matches the Rfam family "Eukaryotic small subunit ribosomal RNA", at positions 1161 to 1703 of the family's 1831-position model. The record is from RNAcentral.
AGGGCACCACCAGGAGUGGAGCCUGCGGCUUAAUUUGACUCAACACGGGAAAUCUCACCAGGCCCGGACACUGGAAGGAUUGACAGAUUGAGAGCCCUUUCUCGAUUCGGUGGGUGGUGGUGCAUGGCCGUUCUUAGUUGGUGGAGUGAUUUGUCUGGUUAAUUCCGAUAACGAGCGAGACUCUGUCCUGCUAAAUAGUUCCCGCGUCCUUUGUUGCGCGGGAAAUUCUUCUUAGAGGGACUGGCGGCGUCUAGCCGCACGAGAUUGAGCAAUAACAGGUCUGUGAUGCCCUUAGACGUUCUGGGCCGCACGCGCGCUACACUGAAGGGAUCAGCGUGUCUUCCCUUCCCGAGAGGGACGGGUAACCCGCUGAACCCCCUUCGUGGUAGGGAUCGGGGCUUGCAAUUAUUCCCCGUGAACCAGGAAUUCCCAGUAAGCGCAAGUCAUAAGCUUGCGUUGAUUACGUCCCUGCCCUUUGUACACACCGCCCGUCGCUACUACCGAUUGAACGUUUUAGUG